UCGUGCAACCGAGGUGCGAGGGCUGUCGCUGACCUUCAAAGGUCGUGCACGCCCGAGCGCUCUCACCCAAUCCACCUCACCCCUUGUGCAUCACCGCGUGGGUCCCUCCCCUUGAAAGGGGAGGGUUCACGUUUUCACAUAAAACUCGAUACAGUCUAGAAUGUUUAUUUUUGCGGUCACACGCGAUCAAUA
This 192-nucleotide unclassified non-coding RNA is filed under the name uncultured Russula. RNAcentral describes it as "sequence contains ITS1". Lineage: Eukaryota; Fungi; Basidiomycota; Agaricomycetes; Russulales; Russulaceae. The record is from RNAcentral.